AUACGGAGGGUGCAAGCGUUAAUCGGAAUUACUGGGCGUAAAGCGUGCGUAGGUGGUUUGUUAAGUUAGAUGUGAAAGCCCCGGGCUCAACCUGGGAACUGCAUUUGAAACUGGCAUACUAGAGUAUAGGAGAGGAAAGUGGAAUUUCAGGUGUAGCGGUGAAAUGCGUAGAUAUCUGAAGGAACAUCAAUGGCGAAGGCAGCUUUCUGGACUAAUACUGACACUGAGGUACGAAAGCGUGGGUAGCAAACAGGAUUAGAAACCCUAGUAGUCC
This 274-nucleotide ribosomal RNA is filed under the name uncultured bacterium. Its description in RNAcentral is "partial 16S ribosomal RNA". It matches the Rfam family "Bacterial small subunit ribosomal RNA", at positions 523 to 796 of the family's 1533-position model. The record is from RNAcentral.